AUGUCCAAUAUCCUCUUUCCAAAAAAAUUCCUUGCGAAGCUCACGGCAAUCAUUCGUAAUUUUUGGUGGGUUGGUGUUAGAGAGGAAGCUAGUGCAAGAGCUUUAUGUCUUAGGGCUUGGAAAGAUAUUUGUAUUCCUAAAAAAGAAGGUGGAUUGGGAAUCAAAAACAUGUUGACUAUGAAUCAAGGUCUCCUUCUUGCGGCUGCCUGGAGACUUGCUGAAAAUCCAGAAAGCCAAGUCUAUCAAGUUCUCCGUGCUAAGUAUUUUCCUGAUUCUUCCAUUUGGAGAGCUACUCCGAAUACUCCGAAAUCUGCUUUCUGGACUUCUAUUCUCAAGGUCUUGCCGAUGCUCAAGGAGCAUUCUUUUUAUCAGAUCACCCAAGGCAACAUUUCUAUUUGGAGCUCACCUUGGUGUACCACUUGGGAGAACAUAUAUGAUCACCUUAUUGUCCAGCAUAGUGCUUUUAUUUACCCGGCUAAGGUCUCUGAUCUUUGGCUUCCAGGCCAAAAACUUUGGAAUUCUGAGUUCAUUACUAACCUUUUUCAGGAACCGACUGCUUCGGCUAUUAUUGCAACUCCUAUAGUUCUUGAUGAUAGUAGGGAUAUCCUUUGUUGGAAGCCCACUCCUUCUCGUAAGUGCAAUUCUAAGAGUACAUAUAAGUUGUGUUUACAACAAAUUCAUAAUUUGCAGGUAAAUCAACCAAGACAGGUGAACCAAUCAACCAAAGAUAUUUUGCAGCAGGUCUGGAAGCACAAAUUCAUGGCUCCAAGGGUUAAAACUUUUGCGUGGCGCUUACUUAGGCAUGCUCUCCCAACUGGUCUUAGAGCUGGCAGGUUUUCCUCUCAUAUUUCUUCUACAUGCUCUAGAUGUGAUUUA
Molecule: ribosomal RNA, 876 nt
Filed under: Triticum aestivum (bread wheat)
Lineage: Eukaryota; Viridiplantae; Streptophyta; Magnoliopsida; Poales; Poaceae
Description: partial small subunit ribosomal RNA
Source: RNAcentral